GAGCUGGGUCCCUUGGAACUGGAGUUACUGGAGUUACAGAUAAAUGGGAGCUGUCAUGUGGGUGUUAGAAAUCUAAACCCAGGUUCUCUGCAAGAGCAGCCAGUGCUCUUAACCACUGAGGCAUUUCUACAAUCCCUAAAACUGAAUUGAAAAAAACAAAAACCCACAAAAAAAACCCCAAAAAUCAAAAACAAAAAAACAAAGUCAUUUAAAAGCUGUGUUUUUGGAGUCAUCCUUUCUCUGAAAGGUGAACAUAAGGAACCCGUAUCAGUGACACAGAGUAAGUUGCGGUAUAUUCUUUGUUAGCUCUCCUAAGGGUGUUCCUGUGAAGCAGAGUCGGCAAGCAGCUUUCACCCUUUUAAACUGUACGAAUGUUUUCUUUGGCUACAGAACCGUGUCACAUCUUUGCUUCAUAUCUUAGUCACCUUAAGCUACUGUCAGCCCCGGUAGCUCCUGUGUUGCUUAGACAGUGCGUUUCUGAUCGUUCACCGUUCUCGGAGGUCUCCGGAAGCUCUGUCAUCCCCCUGGUGGAUGCUGAGAUCCCCUGAGGUUGCUCAGAUGCAACUGGGACCAAGAGUCAGAAGUUUCCAGUUUUCCUUCACCUACAGAGUCAGAUUGCAGAGAAAGUGGGGCACAGGCAGAAGUGUGCCUUGAUCCUGUGAUACGAGGUGGCAGAUGCCUGGGACUCUAGCAGGUGGAUAACUGGUCACUACUGUCCCUAACCUUAACACUGAUGCACCCAGAGUAGCCUGCGUCACCACACCGGGACAGGCCGCUGCCCCCCUCUUUCUGCUGUUUUCACAAUCAGUUCUGAAACCUGAGAAAUCCCCACUCCUAAGUCCACACUCACUUAGAGGAGCCGUGUUCUUCUGCAAAUCCCUCAGCACUGUGAUCUGUGGUAAACACCUAACACGCGGUUUCUGCAUCUGGUCCUUGGGCAAUUUGAGUCAAAAUUCUUCGGUAAUAACUCAUUCUCACAAACCUUGUUGUCUGUCGAGAAGGAGCAGACUUUGUGGCUUCGGCAGCUGGGGAGGUAUUGAGCUAGUUUUAAAAUUAAGUAAACAAC
Molecule: long non-coding RNA, 1066 nt
Filed under: Mus musculus (house mouse)
Lineage: Eukaryota; Metazoa; Chordata; Mammalia; Rodentia; Muridae
Description: long non-coding RNA chr14:75192137-75193203
Source: RNAcentral